UACGUAGGGGGCUAGCGUUGUCCGGAUUUAUUGGGCGUAAAGAGCGUGUAGGCGGUUAGGUAGGUCCGGUGUGAAAACUCGAGGCUUAACCUCGAGAGGUCGCCGGAAACCAUCUGGCUAGAGUCCGGAAGAGGAGAGUGGAAUUCCUGGUGUAGCGGUGAAAUGCGCAGAUAUCAGGAAGAACACCGAUGGCGAAAGCAGCUCUCUGGGACGGUACUGACGCUGAGACGCGAAAGCGUGGGGAGCGAACAGG
This 253-nucleotide ribosomal RNA is filed under the name uncultured bacterium. RNAcentral's name for it is "partial 16S ribosomal RNA". It matches the Rfam family "Bacterial small subunit ribosomal RNA", at positions 524 to 776 of the family's 1533-position model. The record is from RNAcentral.